This 812-nucleotide ribosomal RNA is filed under the name Rhodococcus sp. PE15. Its description in RNAcentral is "bacterial SSU rRNA". It matches the Rfam family "Bacterial small subunit ribosomal RNA", at positions 60 to 885 of the family's 1533-position model. Lineage: Bacteria; Bacillati; Actinomycetota; Actinomycetes; Mycobacteriales; Nocardiaceae. The record is from RNAcentral.
AGUCGAACGAUGAAGCCCAGCUUGCUGGGUGGAUUAGUGGCGAACGGGUGAGUAACACGUGGGUGAUCUGCCCUGCACUCUGGGAUAAGCCUGGGAAACUGGGUCUAAUACCGGAUAUGACCUCGGGAUGCAUGUUCUGGGGUGGAAAGUUUUUCGGUGCAGGAUGAGCCCGCGGCCUAUCAGCUUGUUGGUGGGGUAAUGGCCUACCAAGGCGACGACGGGUAGCCGGCCUGAGAGGGCGACCGGCCACACUGGGACUGAGACACGGCCCAGACUCCUACGGGAGGCAGCAGUGGGGAAUAUUGCACAAUGGGCGCAAGCCUGAUGCAGCGACGCCGCGUGAGGGAUGACGGCCUUCGGGUUGUAAACCUCUUUCACCCAUGACGAAGCGCAAGUGACGGUAGUGGGAGAAGAAGCACCGGCCAACUACGUGCCAGCAGCCGCGGUAAUACGUAGGGUGCGAGCGUUGUCCGGAAUUACUGGGCGUAAAGAGCUCGUAGGCGGUUUGUCGCGUCGUCUGUGAAAUCCCGCAGCUCACUGCGGGCUUGCAGGCGAUACGGGCAGACUCGAGUACUGCAGGGGAGACUGGAAUUCCUGGUGUAGCGGUGAAAUGCGCAGAUAUCAGGAGGAACACCGGUGGCGAAGGCGGGUCUCUGGGCAGUAACUGACGCUGAGGAGCGAAAGCGUGGGUAGCGAACAGGAUUAGAUACCCUGGUAGUCCACGCCGUAAACGGUGGGCGCUAGGUGUGGGUUUCCUUCCACGGGAUCCGUGCCGUAGCCAACGCAUUAAGCGCCCCGCCUGGGGAGUACGG